UACGAAGGGGGCUAGCGUUGCUCGGAAUCACUGGGCGUAAAGCGCACGUAGGCGGCUUUUUAAGUCAGAGGUGAAAUCCUUGAGCUCAACUCCAGAACUGCCUUUGAUACUGAGAGGCUUGAGUCCGGGAGAGGUGAGUGGAACUGCGAGUGUAGAGGUGAAAUUCGUAGAUAUUCGCAAGAACACCAGUGGCGAAGGCGGCUCACUGGCCCGGUACGGAGGCUGAGGUGCGAAAGCGUGGGGAGCAAACAGG
This 253-nucleotide ribosomal RNA is filed under the name uncultured bacterium. RNAcentral's name for it is "partial 16S ribosomal RNA". It matches the Rfam family "Bacterial small subunit ribosomal RNA", at positions 524 to 776 of the family's 1533-position model. The record is from RNAcentral.